RNAcentral lists this ribosomal RNA (253 nucleotides) under uncultured bacterium. RNAcentral's name for it is "partial 16S ribosomal RNA". It matches the Rfam family "Bacterial small subunit ribosomal RNA", at positions 524 to 776 of the family's 1533-position model. The record is from RNAcentral.
UACGGAAGGGGCUAGCGUUGUUCGGAAUUACUGGGCGUAAAGCGCGCGUAGGCGGCUGGACAAGUGAGGCGUGAAAGUCCUGGGCUCAACCCGGGGACGGCGCUUCAGACUGUUUGGCUUGAGUCCGGAAGAGGGUGGUGGAAUUCCGAGUGUAGAGGUGAAAUUCGUAGAUAUUCGGAGGAACACCGGUGGCGAAGGCGGCCACCUGGUCCGGUACUGACGCUAAAGUGCGAAAGCGUGGGGAGCAAACAGG